GCCCGGAUAGCGAAAUUGGUAGACGCAGGGGACUCAAAAUCCCCCGCCGUAAGGCAUGUCGGUUCGACUCCGACUCCGGGCACCA
This 85-nucleotide transfer RNA is filed under the name Burkholderia cepacia. RNAcentral describes it as "tRNA-Leu". It matches the Rfam family "tRNA". From Rfam's summary of the family: Transfer RNA (tRNA) molecules are approximately 80 nucleotides in length. Their secondary structure includes four short double-helical elements and three loops (D, anti-codon, and T loops). Lineage: Bacteria; Pseudomonadati; Pseudomonadota; Betaproteobacteria; Burkholderiales; Burkholderiaceae. The record is from RNAcentral.